UACGAAGGGGGCUAGCGUUGUUCGGAAUCACUGGGCGUAAAGCGCACGUAGGCGGAUUGUUAAGUCGGGGGUGAAAUCCUGAGGCUCAACCUCAGAACUGCCUUCGAUACUGGCGAUCUUGAGUCCGGAAGAGGUUGGUGGAACAGCUAGUGUAGAGGUGAAAUUCGUAGAUAUUAGCUAGAACACCAGUGGCGAAGGCGGCCAACUGGUCCGGAACUGACGCUGAGGUGCGAAAGCGUGGGGAGCAAACAGGA
RNAcentral lists this ribosomal RNA (254 nucleotides) under uncultured prokaryote. RNAcentral describes it as "partial 16S ribosomal RNA". It matches the Rfam family "Bacterial small subunit ribosomal RNA", at positions 524 to 777 of the family's 1533-position model. The record is from RNAcentral.